GAACAGGAAUGAUCUCUAGAUCACUGAAUGAAAUUCUGUCUUUUUUUUUUUUGCUCCCAGGCCAGUCAGUGAGGUUAGGGAAAUAAUUAUCCCUGUUGGUGGCUGUGUAUAUCAACCAAGUGAAGAGGCUGAGAUCUGUAAGAAACGAAGUUUGUCUUUUUCUCCAAAUUUGGAUACUCUGUGAUACCAGGAUGUGUGGAGCCAGCAACAGGCCAGGGAAAGACUACAACUCUUGGAUUCCCAUGUUUUAAGCAGAACACUGAAAAGCUUAUGACAUUUUUUCCCCUCUGGAAUGAAAUGCACAUAUUUAUUUUGGCUUGUGCUAACCCUUGAAAGAGAGAGAGAAAAAAAACAGCUAAUCCCAUAAUCAGCAGUGGGGACUUUCAGACCUUUAAAACAGUGAUGUAAGUAAACUUUCUUUUCCCAGAUGUUGAAGUAUUGUGGCAACACGGACAUUCUGAGUACAGGUUAAGCUUCCUCUUUUCCCAACCAUUGCCUACUCACUAAAGCAAAUACCUUAAUGCAGUAUCUAAAGUACCUGUCUUGUAUGACUUCCUGCAGGAAUGCAUCUGCAGUUGUGUUGUGAUGGGGCCAAAUGAUUUCAUUUGGUAGAAGCUUGUUGUCUUGAGC
RNAcentral lists this long non-coding RNA (630 nucleotides) under Coturnix japonica (Japanese quail). RNAcentral describes it as "lncRNA (ENSCJPG00005015915.1)". Lineage: Eukaryota; Metazoa; Chordata; Aves; Galliformes; Phasianidae. The record is from RNAcentral.